This is a long non-coding RNA of Rhea pennata, 489 nucleotides long. RefSeq lists it as uncharacterized. The record is from RefSeq and is a predicted model, not a curated record. NCBI's taxonomy places the organism in Eukaryota, Metazoa, Chordata, Aves, Rheiformes, Rheidae. The transcript is spliced from 2 exons.
GCCUCUGGGGCAGGAGCCGGGGUCGUUUUCCACGCGCGACUGAAAUAGCCCUGGGCGCGUCUCUGUGGGGUGAAACCGGUUUGGGGUCUCCCCUGGGGCAGGAGCCGCGGUCGGUUUCCUCAUGCGUGACGCAAGCAGCCUGCCCCGCGCCCUCAGGCUACGCGGCUAUCAGAGGCACUACGGUAGCCGCGGCGUCCGGGCCGGGCGCGGCCCCACGCGCGCUGUCGCGGCCGUUACGCCGCGCGCGGCGCGAGCUGGACGUUAGCGCCUCGCUCCGCAGAUGGCCGGGCUGGAAUCGCCCCGGCAGCCCAAGGUGAAGGGCUUGGUGCCACAACCCGCAGUCUUAGCCACCUGCUGUGAUAAAAAUGACACCCUAAUACCACUGGAAGAAUUCUUCAUGUUGUAAUAAACAAGAUGUAUACUAAAAAUUGAGAAAUAAGAAGAAUGAGAAGUUUGCCAAUGGGAAAUAAAAUAUCUGUGACAAGUGAA